Long non-coding RNA from Sapajus apella (tufted capuchin), 3613 nucleotides. RefSeq lists it as uncharacterized. The transcript has 3 exons. NCBI's taxonomy places the organism in Eukaryota, Metazoa, Chordata, Mammalia, Primates, Cebidae. The record is from RefSeq and is a predicted model, not a curated record.
UGUUGGCCACAGGUGAACAGGCACUAUUCUGUUGAGAAUUAACAUAGGCUGAUUAUUAUUUUCCUAAUUCCAGCUUUGUUAGUCUUGUAGUUAGUAAAAAAGUUUUUCCAUGAUGUUGGCAGAGUUGUUAGUUUUAAUGUGAGGUUUUCUUUGCCUUUAGGGGAGUUGGGAGUGAAUACAUCAGAGUGUGCUAGGCAGAAGACAUUUGAAAUGGAGUUACUUGAGUUUUCAAACAUUCACAUCCUUUAUCUCAUAUGAGAAUAUAAGGGGAUGGGGGCUCCUUUUUAAACUGAAGCUUUAAAAGACAGUAGCUAGAAUUUAUGCUGAAGUGGAGUAACAGGCUUUGGAGCUGAGCAGUGUCCUAAUGCAGGGAAAUUUGGAAGAACUUGAGCAGCAUUCACUUUGCACAAAUUGCAGGAUAUCAGAAACAACGGGGCAUCUGUAUUCCUUUUACAAUCCACCUUCCAGUGGGAUGAUAAACUCAAGGACCAAACAAUCACAGUGGGUUCCUAAAUUCUGAUAAGGUUUCUGUGAGUUUAGUGAUACGUUCUUUAAAUGUAAUUUGAAGCUUUUAAAAUAUUGUAAUGGCAGCUCUUGACCUUUAAAAAUCACAUGGAGCAAGAGGUGGUGAAAAAUGUUUAUUUACUCUGCAUUAGUGGCUAACCUCCUGUUUCUUCCUAGAACCAGUAGUUCUUUUAUACUCGGGAACUCACGCAUGUCACCUCCAUUCUUCCAACACGAACCAGACAGGCCCACUUGAGCUGGAGAAACAAUGGCCUGAGCCAGUCCUAUGCCUCAGUGCGAAACAACAAUGCAGAACUCUUGACGAAUUCUGGCGUCGAGAGUGGAAUACUGCAGUUCAACAUGUCUGCUGAACAGAAGUUGGAAAAAGAAAAGAUCAUCUUGUAAACAAUUAAUUAAUGUUUGUCAUGAAUUAUCAUUUUUACUUCCUUCUCAAGAGGCUCAAAGGGAAUAAAAAAGCAUUUUUGCAGGUGGUGGCAUUCAAACUAAGGGCAAUCAAAGGUUUGAGAGCUGAGGCACAGCACUCUGAGUCUCUAAGGGUGAAUGGUGCUAGGAUUAGAGCACAGCAGGGGGUUGAGGGCUUCAGGUGUGAAGCUUAAUGUUUGUGAUCAGCAAAAAAAGUCUUGAAUUUAUCUAAACUGCUCUUCUGCUAACAGUACUUCUAGCACAUAAAUGUUCUGAAACUGACAAGUGUUCUCAUUGCUCUUCUAAUGCAAACAUGAUCUGCAUUUGAAAGAUGCAUCCCUUUUGCCUAAUUUAGAAUGUGCAUCACAAAGAGCGUUAGAUGAUGACCCCACAAAGAGAUACACACACACACACACACACACACACACACACACACACACACACACACACACACACACACCCAUGCAUGCAAACUGUCUCUUUCUGGCCUGGAUCUUCUCUGAAGCUUGCAGCAAGGAUCCUGCAGGAUUGUUUUUCUCUAAAUUCCUAAAUCAGAGGUUGAGAACUAGGGCCUCAAUAGCCAUCUGACCAGCGGAUUCUUCUGAUCUUCUACAUGAAUAAUUCCUUUUAAUUUAGUUUGGAUAAUUGUCUAGAAUUUAUCAUGCUGCAUUUUUCAUUUGCAAUCUUCCCUCUGCUUCUUCAGCCUCGACUUCUAUCAGUAGCAAGAUAUUGAAGAGUAUCCAAUAUAUGUAAAAAUUUUAAACACAUACCAUCAAUAUUAAAAUUUUCUGAGGAAUUAUGACUCAUGUUUGCAACCCCUAGAACCAAUGGCAGGCAUUGUUGAUAGUAGUUGCUAAAGUCCAUAUAAAUACAUCUGAUAGUUUAAUGAAUCCUCUCCAUAAUCAAGAGCUGAACUCUAAUUAAAUACUCCUUUUCUUUCUCUAUCAUCAAUAGAGGUCACCUACUGGGAGAGCUCUAAAAGGAAACACUAAGUUAAAGGUUAUGAGUUAUCACUUCAUGAAAAUGAGUCAUAGGCAAAACUUAGAAGGACCAAGAUGAAUCUCAGCCUUGAGUUACUUUUUAAUCCAACCUUCCCAAAUUCUCCCCUAUCCUGUAGUACCCAUUCAUUUUCUUUUCUGCACUCACAUUUCCUCUUCCCUUUAGUAUUCACUUGACAUCAUGCAAUAAACACAGGUUCUUGGGGCACAAAGCCUGGAGGCCCCGAGGGAUCCAUGAUGACAAAGGAAACGUAGGCACAAACUUGCCUCCUUUUGCCUUGACUCUUUUGAAGCUAGUAAGUUGAGUGGGUCCUCUGAGGUUUAUGGUCACCAUCCUAGACCAUGUCGUGAGGUUUUCCCUUGAAUCCAAGCAUGUAGUACAAACACGUGGCUUAAACUUAGGAAAAAGCCCCCAGAAGCUAGAGAAGAGUUUGGGUAAAAUGGGACAAACUAGAAUAUUAUCAGGUCAGGGACAUGAAAGGAGACUUAAAAAAUUUAGAAGAGGAAAGGAUCUGGGAGGAAACAAGCCGAGCAGAACCCCUGAGAUGGAACAGACAGAAAAAAACUCCUUUCAUAAAUUCCUGGAGGCUCCAGUUUGUUAACAUCUAAAAGUGGAUAAAAGGACUUACCAGAAAAAAUAACUUAGUUUCUUAAAACUACUAAAACUCUUCAAACCUAGACAUCUACUUUAGUAUUUUCUUUGCUUCCCCAUUUUUUGUUAAGAUGUUAAAAUCCUUUUUUUGUAAAGAUGUUAAAAGCCAAAUGCCAACUGCUGUAGAAUUAUGUAGAAAAAAAUGCAGUGAAAAGAAAGUAGCAAUGGAUGUGAUGAAACUGAAAAAAGUGGAGUUCGUGACACCCUAUACCCAAAGGUACGCUCCAGACUUACAGCAGGUACACUGGUGUUGUUUUUAAGUCCCAGGAUUCUGGACCUUGGUUAGGGUGUGUGGCUCUGCCUGGUGGUCUACCCUCUUCCACAUUGUUCUCUGAACCUGCCUAGUCUUCCCUUGCUCCCUUGCUGAACAAUGCUCUGCAUGUGGCAUUGUAUCCAGGACAGGUCAUAGGUUUGGGGGAAAGGAAAUUCACCUUUCUUCCCUGCCAUGUGCUGCUCUUAAUUAAUUCUUACUUCUUUGGAUGGUUAAGCUAGCACCCACUGGGGCUUGAGGGGAGUGGGCUGAAAAUGUUCCAAAUGAGUGAAAAAUUGAAAGCCUAUGUGGCUUUUAUUGGUAUUGGAUCAACUGGUCUAGAUUGAACUGGAAACGUUUUACUGUAGGGUGAAUUUUACAAAAUUAUAAACAUUUAGCUUUAAAAUAAAUACAUUGAUUAAUCCAGUCAUUACAAAUAUGUGCAAAGAUGGUAUCAGCCUGGUACACUCCCCCUACCAGGAAAGACACAGAUUGAAACAUAGAUGGCAAUGGUUUUCACAUUCUUUUUCUAAAUGUAAACAAUUAGAAUCCCCCAAGUGUUUAGCUGCAAGUUGCAUUAACCCAAAGCAAUAAGGAAGCGUUUCAAGGAGUAAAUCCAAAUAGUUUUAAGGAGUAUUACUUAGAAAUACUUCUUUCUUCUACAGCAGAAAACUGAAUUUUGGUGGUGGGAGUGGGGGGAGUCCUCCUAUAAAUUGCCAAUGAACGCCUCCCCCAACCACCCAAGAAAGAGUUGAUGAUGAAAAUUGAAAAUUGUGACCACUUGAA